AUUUUCGAUCGUUAAACUAACACGAAUUUUCGGUUGUUAAUUUUUAGAAUGACCAUGCAAAUAACUACUGAUCAAAUCGGUUGUUAAGCGUGUUAACGACCAUUUUUUCAGUUUUGAAGACCAAAUUUUUCAUCGUUAAAGCUACAUUUUCUGGCAGUGUUACAACUUUAAUCGAAAAUCAGGACCACAUGUACAAUAAUUUUAUGUCUCCCUCUAUAAAUUAAGAAAAAAAAAAAAACUGAACAACUAGUUGUAGUUCUAGGAAAUAUAUACUCUUUAUAAGAUAUGAGAAAUCUAUAACAAAAUCUUGGUGAUGAAAAGAAAAAUAUGCAUUCCUUGAAGACCAGAAGAUUAAGGCAUAAAUCCAACGAUAACAACAUUGUUAGCAGCCGAACAUCCC
This 400-nucleotide long non-coding RNA is filed under the name Salvia miltiorrhiza (redroot sage). RNAcentral's name for it is "long non-coding RNA (SMIL_LNC009721)". Lineage: Eukaryota; Viridiplantae; Streptophyta; Magnoliopsida; Lamiales; Lamiaceae. The record is from RNAcentral.